This 388-nucleotide ribosomal RNA is filed under the name uncultured bacterium. Its description in RNAcentral is "bacterial SSU rRNA". It matches the Rfam family "Bacterial small subunit ribosomal RNA", at positions 28 to 417 of the family's 1533-position model. The record is from RNAcentral.
GACGAACGCUGGCGGCGUGCUUAACACAUGCAAGUCGAGCGGUAAGGCCCUUUCGGGGGUACACGAGCGGCGAACGGGUGAGUAACACGUGGGUGACCUGCCCUCAGCUCUGGGAUAAGCCUGGGAAACCGGGUCUAAUACUGGAUAUGACUCCAUGACGCAUGUUGUGGGGUGGAAAGCCUUGUGCGGCUGAGGAUGGGCCCGCGGCCUAUCAGCUUGUUGGUGGGGUGANGGCCUACCAAGGCGACGACGGGUAGCCGGCCUGAGAGGGCGACCGGCCACACUGGGACUGAGACACGGCCCAGACUCCUACGGGAGGCAGCAGUGGGGAAUAUUGCGCAAUGGGCGGAAGCCUGACGCAGCGACGCCGCGUGGGGGAUGACGGCCU